GGGAAGGUGGCUCAGUGGUAGAGUGCUUGCCUUGCAUGCAUAAGGCCCUGGGUUCGAUUCCUUAGCAUCACA
RNAcentral lists this transfer RNA (72 nucleotides) under Dipodomys ordii (Ord's kangaroo rat). It matches the Rfam family "tRNA". From Rfam's summary of the family: Transfer RNA (tRNA) molecules are approximately 80 nucleotides in length. The record is from Rfam by way of RNAcentral. Lineage: Eukaryota; Metazoa; Chordata; Mammalia; Rodentia; Heteromyidae.